This 620-nucleotide ribosomal RNA is filed under the name uncultured Alphaproteobacteria bacterium. RNAcentral's name for it is "bacterial SSU rRNA". It matches the Rfam family "Bacterial small subunit ribosomal RNA", at positions 9 to 651 of the family's 1533-position model. Lineage: Bacteria; Pseudomonadati; Pseudomonadota; Alphaproteobacteria. The record is from RNAcentral.
GAGUUUGAUCCUGGCUCAGAACGAACGCUGGCGGCAGGCCUAACACAUGCAAGUCGAACGAUAAGUCGCGGUUCGCCGCGACCCAAAGUGGCAGACGGGUGAGGAACAUGUGGGAAUCUACCCAAAGGCGGGGAACAACCCAGAGAAAUCAGGGCUAAUACCCCAUACGCCCAAUCCUUAAUCAGAUUGGGGAAAGAUCUUUCGCCUUCGGAGGAGCCCGCACGGGAUUAGUUAGUUGGCGCGAUAAUAGCGCACCAAGACCAUGAUCCCUAGCUGGUCUGAGAGGAUGAUCAGCCACACUGGGACUGAGACACGGCCCAGACUCCUACGGGAGGCAGCAGUGGGGAAUCUUGCGCAAUGGGCGAAAGCCUGACGCAGCCAUGCCGCGUGAGUGAAGAAGGCCCUCGGGUUGUAAAACUCUUUCGCCGGUGACGAUCGUGACGGUAACCGGUAAAGAAGCCCCGGCCAACUCCGUGCCAGCAGCCGCGGUAAGACGGAGGGGGCUAGCGUUGUUCGGAAUUACUGGGCGUAAAGGGCGUGUAGGCGGAUGGAUCAGUCGGGGGUGAAAGCCCGGGGCUCAACCCCGGAACGGCCUUCGAUACUGUCCAUCUUGAGGCCGG